ACGCUGGCGGCGUGCCUAAUACAUGCAAGUAGAACGCUGAAGAGAGGAGCUUGCUCUUCUUGGAUGAGUUGCGAACGGGUGAGUAACGCGUAGGUAACCUGCCUUGUAGCGGGGGAUAACUAUUGGAAACGAUAGCUAAUACCGCAUAACAAUAGGUGACACAUGUCAUUUAUUUGAAAGGGGCAAUUGCUCCACUACAAGAUGGACCUGCGUUGUAUUAGCUAGUAGGUGAGGUAACGGCUCACCUAGGCGACGAUACAUAGCCGACCUGAGAGGGUGAUCGGCCACACUGGGACUGAGACACGGCCCAGACUCCUACGGGAGGCAGCAGUAGGGAAUCUUCGGCAAUGGGGGCAACCCUGACCGAGCAACGCCGCGUGAGUGAAGAAGGUCUUCGGAUCGUAAAGCUCUGUUGUAAGUCAAGAACGAGUGUGAGAGUGGAAAGUUCACACUGUGACGGUAGCUUACCAGAAAGGGACGGCUAACUACGUGCCAGCAGCCGCGGUAAUACGUAGGUCCCGAGCGUUGUCCGGAUUUAUUGGGCGUAAAGCGAGCGCACGCGGUUUGAUAAGUCUGAAGUUAAAGGCUGUGGCUCAACCAUAGUUCGCUUUGGAAACUGUCAAACUUGAGUGCAGAAGGGGAGAGUGGAAUUCCAUGUGUAGCGGUGAAAUGCGUAGAUAUAUGGAGGAACACCGGUGGCGAAAGCGGCUCUCUGGUCUGUAACUGACGCUGAGGCUCGAAAGCGUGGGGAGCGAACAGGAUUAGAUACCCUGGUAGUCCACGCCGUAAACGAUGAGUGCUAGGUGUUGGAUCCUUUCCGGGAUUCAGUGCCGCAGCUAACGCAUUAAGCACUCCGCCUGGGGAGUACGACCGCAAGGUUGAAACUCAAAGGAAUUGACGGG
RNAcentral lists this ribosomal RNA (902 nucleotides) under uncultured bacterium. Its description in RNAcentral is "bacterial SSU rRNA". It matches the Rfam family "Bacterial small subunit ribosomal RNA", at positions 33 to 917 of the family's 1533-position model. The record is from RNAcentral.